RNAcentral lists this ribosomal RNA (444 nucleotides) under Triticum aestivum (bread wheat). RNAcentral's name for it is "partial small subunit ribosomal RNA". Lineage: Eukaryota; Viridiplantae; Streptophyta; Magnoliopsida; Poales; Poaceae. The record is from RNAcentral.
AUGAAAUGGCAUAAGGAGGGUCGGGUGGAUGAUGGCGUAAUGAGGCAUCCUGCAGAUUCGAAGGCCUGGAAGCAUUUUGAUAAGAAAUAUUAUAAGAAAUUCUCAAAAGAUGCUCACAGUGUUCGGCUUGGCCUUGCUUCGGAUGGAUUCAACCCCUUUGGGCUCAUGAGUAUAUCACACAGUACAUGGCAUGUCAUUCUUAUUCCAUAUAACUUGCCACCUUGGAUGUGUAUGAAACAACAAAAUUGGAUUAUGUCAAUGAUUAUUCCAGGACCAAAGUCAGUAGGAAAUAACAUAAAUGUGUACUUGCAGCCCUUGAUUGAUGAACUGAAUGUUCUAUGGGAGGAUGGUGCUGACACAUAUGAUGCUGCAACUAAAAAAAAUUCCAGAUGUAUGCAUGCUUGUUGUGGACCAUCAGUGACUACCCAGCUUAUGCAAUGCUGA